This 502-nucleotide ribosomal RNA is filed under the name uncultured Delftia sp. Its description in RNAcentral is "bacterial SSU rRNA". It matches the Rfam family "Bacterial small subunit ribosomal RNA", at positions 8 to 507 of the family's 1533-position model. The record is from RNAcentral. Lineage: Bacteria; Pseudomonadati; Pseudomonadota; Betaproteobacteria; Burkholderiales; Comamonadaceae.
AGAGUUUGAUCCUGGCUCAGAUUGAACGCUGGCGGCAUGCCUUACACAUGCAAGUCGAACGGUAACAGGUCUUCGGACGCUGACGAGUGGCGAACGGGUGAGUAAUACAUCGGAACGUGCCCAGUCGUGGGGGAUAACUACUCGAAAGAGUAGCUAAUACCGCAUACGAUCUGAGGAUGAAAGCGGGGGACCUUCGGGCCUCGCGCGAUUGGAGCGGCCGAUGGCAGAUUAGGUAGUUGGUGGGAUAAAAGCUUACCAAGCCGACGAUCUGUAGCUGGUCUGAGAGGACGACCAGCCACACUGGGACUGAGACACGGCCCAGACUCCUACGGGAGGCAGCAGUGGGGAAUUUUGGACAAUGGGCGAAAGCCUGAUCCAGCAAUGCCGCGUGCAGGAUGAAGGCCUUCGGGUUGUAAACUGCUUUUGUACGGAACGAAAAAGCUUCUCCUAAUACGAGAGGCCCAUGACGGUACCGUAAGAAUAAGCACCGGCUAACUACGUG